CCUACGGGUGGCAGCAGUGGGGAAUAUUGGACAAUGGGCUGACCCCUGAUCCAGCGACGCCGCGUGAGUGAAGAAUUAUUUCGGUAUUUAAAGCUCUAUCAGCAGGGAAGAAAGAAAUGACGGUACCUGACUAAGAAGCCCUGGCGAACUACGUACCAGCAGCCGCCGUAAUACGUAGGGGGGCAGCGUUAUCCGGAUUUACUGGGUGUAAAGGGAGCGUUGACGUCGAUGCAAGCCUGAAGUGAAAGGCGGGGGCCCAACCCCCGGACUGCUUUUGAAACUGUAUGGCUGGAGUGCAGGAGAGGUAAGUGGAAUUCGUGGUGUAGCGGUGAAAUGCGUAGAUAUUAGGAGGAACACCAGUGGCGAAGGCGGCUUACUGGACUGUAACUGACGUUGAGGCUCGAAAGCGUGGGGAGCAAACAGGAUUAGAUACCCCAGUAGUC
This 443-nucleotide ribosomal RNA is filed under the name uncultured bacterium. Its description in RNAcentral is "partial 16S ribosomal RNA". It matches the Rfam family "Bacterial small subunit ribosomal RNA", at positions 338 to 795 of the family's 1533-position model. The record is from RNAcentral.